Molecule: ribosomal RNA, 295 nt
Filed under: uncultured bacterium
Lineage: Bacteria
Description: partial 16S ribosomal RNA
Rfam family: Bacterial small subunit ribosomal RNA
Source: RNAcentral
CAAGUCGAACGGCACCCCUCUCCGGAGGGAAGCGAGUGGCGAACGGCUGAGUAACACGUGGAGAACCUCGCCCCCUCCCCCGGGAUAGCCGCCCGAAAGGACGGGUAAUACCGGAUACCCCCGGGCGCCGCAUGGCGCCCGGGCUAAAGCCCCGACGGGAGGGGAUGGCUCCGCGGCCCAUCAGGUAGACGGCGGGGUGACGGCCCACCGUGCCGACAACGGGUAGCCGGGUUGAGAGACCGACCGGCCAGAUUGGGACUGAGACACGGCCCAGACUCCUACGGGAGGCAGCAUG